AUACGUAGGGUGCGAGCGUUGUCCGGAAUUACUGGGCGUAAAGAGCUCGUAGGUGGUUUGUCGCGUCGUCUGUGAAAUUCCGGGGCUUAACUCCGGGCGUGCAGGCGAUACGGGCAUAACUUGAGUACUGUAGGGGAGACUGGAAUUCCUGGUGUAGCGGUGAAAUGCGCAGAUAUCAGGAGGAACACCGGUGGCGAAGGGGGGUCUCUGGGCAGUAACUGACGCUGAGGAGCGAAAGCAUGGGUAGCGAACAGGAUUAGAUACCCUGGUAGUCCAUGCCGUAAACGGUGGGCGCUAGGUGUAGGGGUCUUCCACGACUUCUGUGCCGUAGCUAACGCAUUAAGCGCCCCGCCUGGGGAGUACGGUCGCAAGGCUAAAACUCAAAGGAAUCGACGGGG
This 398-nucleotide ribosomal RNA is filed under the name uncultured bacterium. RNAcentral's name for it is "partial 16S ribosomal RNA". It matches the Rfam family "Bacterial small subunit ribosomal RNA", at positions 523 to 918 of the family's 1533-position model. The record is from RNAcentral.